Molecule: ribosomal RNA, 500 nt
Filed under: uncultured bacterium
Lineage: Bacteria
Description: partial 16S ribosomal RNA
Rfam family: Bacterial small subunit ribosomal RNA
Source: RNAcentral
AUUGAACGCUGGCGGCAUGCUUUACACAUGCAAGUCGAACGGCAGCACGGACUUCGGUCUGGUGGCGAGUGGCGAACGGGUGAGUAAUACAUCGGAACGUGCCCAGUUGUGGGGGAUAACUACUCGAAAGAGUAGCUAAUACCGCAUGAGAACUGAGGUUGAAAGCAGGGGAUCGGAAGACCUUGCGCAACUGGAGCGGCCGAUGGCAGAUUAGGUAGUUGGUGGGAUAAAAGCUUACCAAGCCGACGAUCUGUAGCUGGUCUGAGAGGACGACCAGCCACGCUGGGACUGAGACACGGCCCAGACUCCUACGGGAGGCAGCAGUGGGGAAUUUUGGACAAUGGGCGAAAGCCUGAUCCAGCAAUGCCGCGUGCAGGAUGAAGGCCCUCGGGCUGUAAACUGCUUUUGUACGGAACGAAAAGCUUCGGGUUAAUACCCUGGAGUCAUGACGGUACCGUAAGAAUAAGCACCGGCUAACUACGUGCCAGCCGCCGCAGUAA